AGUCCGAACGAAGCCUUCGGGCUUAGUGGCGGACGGGUGAGUAACGCGUGAGAAUCUCCCUUCAGGAUGGGGACAACCGUUGGGAACGACGGCUAAUCCCCAAUGUGCCGAGAGGUGAAAGGGUUUCCGCCUGAAGAAGAGCUCGCGUCCGAUUAGUUAGUUGGUGAGGUAAGAGCUCACCAAGGCAGCGAUCGGUAGCUGGUCUGAGAGGAUGAGCAGCCACACUGGGACUGAGACACGGCCCAGACUCCUACGGGAGGCAGCAGUGGGGAAUUUUCCGCAAUGGGCGAAAGCCUGACGGAGCAACGCCGCGUGUGGGAAGAAGGCUCUUGGGCUGUCAACCACUCUUCUCAGGGAAGAAGUUCUGACGGUACCUGAGGAAUCAGCCUCGGCUAACUCCGUGCCAGCAGCCGCGGUAAUACGGAGGAGGCAAGCGUUAUCCGGAAUUAUUGGGCGUAAAGCGUCCGCAGGGGGCGCAUCAAGUCUGCUGUUAAAGGCUGGAGCUUAACUCCGGUAGAGCAGUGGAAACUGGUGCGCUAGAGGGCGACAGGGGUAGAGGGAAUUCCCAGUGUAGCGGUGAAAUGCGUAGAGAUUGGGAAGAACACCGGUGGCGAAAGCGCUCUACUGGGUCGCACCUGACCCUCAGGGACGAAAGCUAAGGUAGCGAAAGGGAUUAGAUACCCCUGUAGUCUUAGCCGUAAACGAUGGAUACUAGGCGUGGCUUGUAUCGACCCAAGCCGUGCCGAAGCUAACGCGUUAAGUAUCCCGCCUGGGGAGUACGCACGCAAGUGUG
RNAcentral lists this ribosomal RNA (793 nucleotides) under uncultured bacterium. RNAcentral's name for it is "bacterial SSU rRNA". It matches the Rfam family "Bacterial small subunit ribosomal RNA", at positions 60 to 896 of the family's 1533-position model. The record is from RNAcentral.